Molecule: ribosomal RNA, 253 nt
Filed under: uncultured bacterium
Lineage: Bacteria
Description: partial 16S ribosomal RNA
Rfam family: Bacterial small subunit ribosomal RNA
Source: RNAcentral
UACGAAGGGCGCAAGCGUUAAUCGGAAUUACUGGGCGUAAAGCGUGCGCAGGCGGCUUUGCAAGACAGAUGUGAAAUCCCCGGGCUCAACCUGGGAACUGCAUUUGUGACUGCAAGGCUAGAGUACGGCAGAGGGGGAUGGAAUUCCGCGUGUAGCAGUGAAAUGCGUAGAUAUGCGGAGGAACACCAAUGGCGAAGGCAAUCCCCUGGGCCUGUACUGACGCUCAUGCACGAAAGCGUGGGGAGCAAACAGG